AUGAAGUGCGGCCACAAAUUGUAAUUUGAGAAGUGAUACUGCUUCUUAAGACCAGCAGUGCAUCUUUCUUUGGAAUAUCAAAGUAAAUUUGCACAGAGGGGCUACAAUGCAACACCUGUCCAGAAGUGCCACUGUAGAGGCUGUCAGAAGCAAGCUCCUUUGCAGAGGGAGCACCCAGGUGCUGCAGUGAGAAACCCCCAAACUAGUUACAUCAUUGUGUCCAUGGCAGUCCUAAGCUUGGAAAUACUUCACUGCACAGGGCCACUGAUGUGAUGUCUCAGCAUUGCUGGCUAACAGGCCCAGCAGGAUGGUCAGCAGUUUCAAUGGGAAACUUUGGACAAACCUACCUAGGCGGUAAUUUGCACUAAGUACAGCACUGCUGUGUCACUUCUGCUUCAAGUGCUGGAUGCAGUGCUGAAGAGAACAUCAGAACUGCAAGACAGCGUCAUGCUCAUAUAAAGCUGGAGGAAGAAGGAGGAAGGGAGGACAUUCACAGUGAUGAUGCUUGUCUUCCCAAGUCACCAUUACAUGUGAUGGAGCCCUGCUUUCCUGAAGAUGGCUGAACACCUGCCUGCCCUGGAGAAGUGGUGAAUGAAUUCCUUGUUUUGCUUUGCUUAAAGUAGUCCCAUACUGAUCUUUUUGCUUGUUGGAAAUUUCCAGAAAAUUAAAUUGCCUGUUGAAAAGAAAACUCCCACGGUAGAUCUGAGAAUAUCUUUACCCUUAACUAUCAGUGAUCCAACUCCACUGGAAAGAAGAGAUUUCCAGGACAGGUUUGCUGGAAGGACCUGUGGGCUUUGUUGAACACAAAGUAGAACUUGAGUCAGCAGUGAGCCCUCAAAGACCAACCACAUACAGGCUGUACUAGCAAUAGUGUAGCUGGCAAGGCUAGAAAGGGAAGCUAUUGUCUCCCCAUACUUAGUACCAGUGAGACCAUAUCCAUAGUACUGGAUCCAGUUUUGGAGUCUCAAGUAUGAAAAAGAUACUGACAGAGAAGGACUACCAAGAUGACUGGGUACUGGAGCACAUGAUGUAUGAGGGGCUGAGAGAAAGGGAUUUGUCAAGUCUGAGGACAAGAAGGCUGCCUGGUGAUCUUAGUGCAGACUUCAUCUAUCUAGGGGAAGUGUAUAAACCUGUUUCUCAGAGGUGCUUAGUGGCAGGUAAGAAGCAAUAGAUAUAAGUUGCAAGGAUGUAAAUUUUUACUGAAUAUUAGGGGAAAAGGAUCUACAGUGAGAGUAGAAAACCAUGGGACAGGUUGCUCAGAAAGCUGUGGAACAUGGGCAAAAUUGGAGACAAGUAAACAACUGGACAAGGCCUUUAGCUAGCCUGAGUUAGAUCUGCUUUGAGUAACUGAUUGGAAUAGAUUACCUCAAGAAAUUCACAACCUAAAUUAUGCUGUGAUUCUGUGAUUUUAUUAUUCUUGCCUUGUAAGUGGCUAAAUUUGAGAAGACAGAAAUGAAGGACCAGAUUGGAGCAGCUGUUCAAAUAGCUAUGCAAAGCUAUAUUCUUUGAAUCAGAGGAAGAAGAACAUUGUAGAGAGAAGUAAUACUAGACACCAAGACCAGCACUUGCAUUUAAACUUAGGGCCCCAGACUUUGCCUUCAAUAACAAACAUUUCUUCAGACAUUUUCACAGCUGGAAGAACAGUGUGCUCCACAAGACACUGUAGGAGUCGCCAUGAAAAGGAGAUUCUAAAUAAUUACCAACAGACCGAAGAAAAUUUUGUCAUUUGUAUUGAAAAACUAGAAUCCCUAUUGAUUUCUACCAGAGCUUCAUUAAUCACUUUCUGUAAAACACUAAUUUGCUGGUCACAACCAGCAGCAUCAAGAACAAGAUAGAAUACACAGAGAACCAAGAUCAGUGCGCUUACCUCUGCAAUAAUUUAUUCACCAAUCCAUAAUUUAAAACAAAGCAAAAGGGUUGGGGUAUACACUCAGAACCUGAAACACCAGUGUAUCAACUUUGAGGAAAUCUUAUAACAUCUACCCAAAUCUGCCCCUAAACUUCCAGAAAAGGGUCAUCACCUAUGAAGCCAUUCUGUGCAAAUAGAGUCCAUGUAUAACCACACUACCAUAUAUAAAGUCUCUUCAUUUAAAAAAUCACGUUGAUUGUAUGCAGAUACCUGGGCAACACCUCAGCCUUGAGAAUAAUACUGAAUUAUCAUCCACGCUUGAAGAAAGUUGGAAUUUAUUUCCUUCAUUGGAAAAUAAAUUGGCAGCACAUUCCAUCUCACUCUCCCUACCCCCUCCGGUCUCAGUAAGUUCAUUGCCCAAAGCAAGUUUCCUGGAGAUCAACAUGCACCACUUGUUUAUGGCAUUGUUCAGGGAGACUGGGAAUUUUGGCAGGAGGCCCAUUUGGCUAAGCAAGGAGCUUCUUAAUGAGCUAAAAUGCAAAGCACAUAAGAAGUGGAAACAAGGGCAGACAACAAAGGAAAAGUAUAAAAGUACUGCUCAGACAUGUUGGGACAAAACCAGAAAGACCAAAGCCCAGUUGGAGUUACAACUGGGGAGGAACAUAAAAGCUAACAAGAUGUGGUUUUACAAGCACGUCAGAAGUGAAAAGAAACUCAGAGAAAAUGUGCAUCCAUUUCUGAAUGGAAAGAAAACCUAGUGAUAGACAGUAUGGGAAAAGCUGAAGUGCUCAAUGACUUUUUGUCUCAGGGAAAACCUGCUCCCAGAUCUCUGCACACAUCAAUGCUGUAUGGGAAGCCAACAGUGUAUUAAAAUCCCUAGGGCCAGAUGGACUCCUGAGCAUGCUGAAAGGUACAGCUGAUAUGCUUUAGAGGUUUGCCAUAAUUUUUGGAAAAUCAUGGUUUUUGGGAGGGAUCUCUGAUGAACGGGCUGAUGUUACACUCAACUUUAAGACAGACCAGAAGGAGGAUCUAGGUAACUUCAGGCUAAUCAGCACCACUUCAGUCCUUAGAAAAAUAACAGACCACAUCCAUUUCUGAACACAUGAAGGACAGGUAGUAAUCAGGAGCAGUCAACAGAUUUAUCAAAGCAAAUCAUAGUUAAGGAGAUGAACUUGGACUGAGUUCUGGACUACAUUAAAAGAUCACAGCUAACAGAUUGAGGGUGGUCUGGUGAUGAUUUCCCUCUUCUUGACACUUGUGAGGCCACAUCCGGAACACCAGUUUGACCACUCCGUUUCUCCCAUGUGUCCACAGUAUAAAGAAAAAACUGACAUAUUAAAGUAAUUCUUGGGGAGGGUCACCAAGAUGACUGGGAAGAGCAUGGUUUGUUCAGCCCAGAGAAGGGAAGGCUACAGGGAAGUCUGAUUGUUGAUUUCUACCAUCUAAUAGAGUAUAGAGAAGACAGAGACUUCUUGAAAAUGCUUAGCAAAAGUACAUGUUAUAGAAAUGGCAAUUUUGGUCACUGGAAUCAUCAGAAAUAUUCAAAGCUCAGUUGGACUAGUCCCUGACCAGUCUUAUCUCAGUGUCAAAGUCAGCCCAGCCUUGAGCAGGAUCCUACCACACAGCCUUGAGUUCACUUCCAACCAAAAUCCUCCAAUGUUUUUAUGAUUCUGUGUUGAGAUAACCUAGUUCCUUUCUGCAGUGAAAGGACUGUUGACAUGGAUAUGAGUGGUCCAUGUGGGCUUGUAUCUUUCUUGUCUGGAAACU
Long non-coding RNA from Pseudopipra pipra, 3616 nucleotides. RefSeq lists it as uncharacterized. The record is from RefSeq and is a predicted model, not a curated record. Lineage: Eukaryota; Metazoa; Chordata; Aves; Passeriformes; Pipridae. The transcript is spliced from 5 exons.